CAAAAAAGCAAACGCUGACUUUACUUCACGGAGAAAGCAAAGCAAGAUUUAAAAAAACCAAGAAGGCUAAUAGUGGUCGCGCGCGUGCGCUACUGGCGGCAAUGGCAGGCGCGUGCAGCCCGCGAGCUCCACCUACGUGCGAGCAGAGCUCGAUGUGGUGUCCACAGUUUCGUGAGCUCUGACCACCCCUUCCUCAUUUCAGUACAGCUUCGGAAGCAGGAACUUCACAGGACGGUGAAACGUUUCUCCGCACUUCUAUGACAGCUUCGUUUGAAAACGCUUCCUACAGGAAACGCCGUGAAACCUGCAGGCAGGUGGACCGUCCUUCAAGCCAGGGCCGUUUCAGCGAUUUCUCCUCUGAAACGGGCUUUUGCGCUCAGCUGAGCGAUGGACCCGCAGAGCGGUCUCCUGUCCCGCGCCGGAACCUCCCUAUGGACACUCUUCCAGGGCGCCGUGAACUAUAUCACAUCAGCUGUGGGCAGAUAUUUAAGGCCUGAGCCUCCAAAUACAGGAAAUGAUGACAUAAAUAUAAUACCGGAAGCAACAGUUUGCAAACAAAGAGAGAGAAGUCAUGAGGAGGAAGAAAAGAGUCUGAAUGCAAACUACAAAGAAAAAGAAGAGGAUGAUGCUGAGAACAGUGGGAAAAAUUUUGCAGAUCCCUGUCAGAUUACCCUAUCCACAGACACAGAGAGCAAGACUACACAAUGGAGCGUUGAAUAUGUCAAGAGUAUGGUAACAGAAAAAGGAGACAAGGCACAUGAAAGAUCAAGAGAAGACCAUGACCAACUGAAAAUAAUCCCAGUCACUGCAAACUUAAACAAUGAAGAUGCAGAGGAGAAGGGUCUUACUCAAGAAGAAAUCCAACAGGGAGAUACACAUAUGAGACAUGGUUGUCUGAUAGAACCUAGAAAAGGGGAAAAGGGAAAGCAAGACAAUCACCAAACUGAGGAUGACAUUCAGUGGCAAAAAGAACAAAAGGUAGCCAUAAAACAAGAUCAUGCCAAGUCUACAGAAGAUGAUUUUAAAGGUGAGAGAAGAUUUUUUGGGAUUAAAGUAAAGACAGUAGGAAGUGAUUAUAGAACAAUGGAAGGUUGUGAGGGAAUUCUUGGUAUUAAAGAAAGACAGCCGGAGAUGAGGAAGGGAGAAGAUGAUACAGGGAUAAAUCAAAGUUAUAAGGAAUCAGAAGCAGAGCAAGAAGGAAAUGAACAAUCAGGAAGGUUGGAAGAGACUGAAACAACAAGCAGAGAAGGACAAAUAAGUUGUCAAGAAAAUGAAAAAAAUAAAGUAAAUAUUCAAGCACUAAAAAGCAAAUUCACAGAACAAGAAAGAGAAAAACAUAGACUGGAAGACAAAGGAGAAAUGGAAGAAAUAAGAGGAGAGUUGGAAACAUUAAAUCAGAAUCAAGAAUCAGUAUCAGUUGAAGGGACUGAUGAAUCAUGUGCAAUUGAGAAAAGUGGGGAGGAUGGAAAGAGGGAAACAUAUUCAUCUGUGUUAGAAAGAAGAAAAGAAAUAGAGUACAGGCCUCACAGAGCUCAGACACAUUCUGAUGAUGAAGAUGAUGAAUUGGACACAAACCAAGAGGAAGAAAGAAAAACAGGUGGGGAACAAAUAGGAACUAGGGAGGUGGAAAGAGAGGGAGGACUACAAGAGGUGAACAUAGAAACAAAGUUCAAAAUGACAGUAGUAAAGAUAAAGGAUGGAAAAGAUGAGGAGAAUGAAAAGGAAACAAAAAGUGAUGAAGAGGAAACAACUGACUUAGAAAACAGAGAAAUACAAAUGGGGAAAAAUUUCGAGGAACCGCAAGAUGAGAUAAAACAAGAUGAUGAACGUGGGUGGAAGGAAGAGGUUCAGACCACAAGGGUGUCAGGGCACGGAAGUGUCACAGAGAAUGAAAAACACAAAAAAGAAAUGAAAGGUAUAAAAACGGAAAUCAUUGUAAGUGUCAAAGAACUGGAAAGAGAAAUGCAGAGAAUAGAGGAGGAGGAAGAUGUGGAAGAAAUAACAGAAGACCUGGAAGCAGCAGAUGAACCUCAAGAAUUUGUAACAACAGAAGAGAAAGAAGAGUUAUGUACAUUAGAGAAAGGCAGCAGGGUUGGAGAAAUGGAAGUGUGUUCAUCUGAGUUUGAAAGAGGAGAAGAAAGGGACAAUUAUGUAGCAAAAGAAGAUGUAAAAAUCCACUUUGAAGAUCAAUGGCCAGUGCAAGAAUGGACUGAGGAACACUUAACAUUAGGAUUUGACUUUCAGGAACUGGAAAAAACACACAAAGAAGUAGAAAUGAUACCAGAAGAUAAAGUUGUGGCAAUAUCACAGACACAGUGGAGAGAUGAUAAUAAAGAUGAGGUAAGUGCCCAACAGGCGAGAGAAACAGAAACAGAGCACAGGUGUCACAGACCUCACGAUCAUUCUGGUGUGGAAGAUGAAGAAUCAGAUACAAACGAAGAGGAAGAAAAAAAAGCAGAUGCAGAACAAACAGAUGCAGGGAAAAUGGAAACAGAAGGAGAACCACAGGAGGUGUACAUGGAAAUAAAACACAAUAUGACGGAAGCAGAAACAAAGUAUGGAAAAGAUGAGGAGACUGAAGAAGAAACCAGGAGUGAUGACGUGGAAACACCUGACUUAGGAAAAAGAGAAAUAGCACUGGAGACAAAUUUCAAGGAAUCAGAAGAUGAGAUAAAAGAAGUGGAAUCUGGAAGGGUGGAAGAUAAUAAGUCCAUAAAGGAAAAAGGCCAAGGAAGUGUCACAGAAAAUGAAAAACACACAGAAUUUAAACAUCUAGAAAGAGAAAUCACAGUAAGUUUAGAACUGGGAAAAGAAAGGGAGAGAAUAGAGGAGGAAGAUGAUGUGGAAGAAAUGAAAGACCUGGAAGCAGAAUGUAAAUAUCAGGAAUCUGUAACAGAAGAGGGAGAGGAGUCAUGUGCAGUUGAAAAAGGUAGCAAAGAUGGCAAACGGGAUGUAUAUUCAUCUGAUGUAGAAAAAAGAAAAGGAAAAGACCCUAAUAUACAAAAAGGGGAUACAGAAGUGCACUUUGAUGAUCAAUGUUCAGUACAAAUUGGGACCAAAGAGCACUUCGGAUUAGGAUUUGACUUUCAAGAAUCUGAAACAACAAACAAAGAAACAGUACAAACGAUAACAAAAGAAGACGAUGUAGAGGGAUCAGGGACUCAAUGGAGAGAUUAUAUGACACAUGAAGAUAGUGUUUAUAAGCAAACAGAAAACAACCAAAAGGAAAAGAGAAAAACAGAUGAAGAACAAAUAGACACUGAAGAGAUGAAAAUGGAAGAACCGCAAGAAAUAAACAUUGAGAUGAAAUACAAAAUAGUCACUGUAGAAAGUGAGGAUAGAAAUGAUGAGAAUGACGUGGAAACACCUGAAUUGGGGGAAGAUGAAAUAGAGUUGAAUAAAAAGUGCAAGGAACCCCAACAUGAGAUAAAAGGAGAGGAAGAAUUUAGAAGUUCUGUGAACACUGAGUCAUCUUUUGGAGAUGAACUGGGCAACGUUCUAGAAAAUGAAAGAAAUGAUGGACUACACAGACUAGAAGGUGAAAUCACAGUAAAUACAUUGAUACUGGAAAAACUUAAACAGAGCAAAGAAGAAAAAGAAGAAAUGAAUGAUCUAAUAGAACAUUUAGAAACAGAAGACAAAAGCCAAAAACCAAUAAUGAUGGAAGCUGGAGAAGAAUCACAUGCAGUUAAGAAAGGCUGGGAAGAUGGAGAGAGAGAAGUGUGUUCAACUGAGUUAAAAGAAGAAGAAAACAGCAUAAAGGCAAAAAAACAAGAUAUAAAAGUCCAGUUUGAAGACAGAUGGACAGCACAGUCUGAGGGUCACUUACCAUCACUAGUCAGUUCUCAAAAAAUUGCAACAGCACACAAAACUGGUCAAGCAACAGCAGUUGAUAAACCUGUAGAUAUAUCAGUGACACAAUGGAGAGAUGAUAUGCAACCCGAGGAAAGUAUCUACAAGGGAACUGAGACAGAUGAGAAUGGGAAAUCUCAAAGAACUAAAGGGCAAACUGGUGAGAAAGAUGGGUCUCAUAAUGUAAGUAUAGAAUGGGACAUUGAAAUAAAAGAGGAAGAUGCUGUGCAUGAAGAAACAAAUGAAGCUGUAUCACAACAAAGUAUAAAAGCUGAAGAAUUAAGCUUCAGUAGAGCGGCUGAAAAUGAAGAAGACAAAGAAUUAUGCAGGAGGGAAGACAUUUUUAACAGAAUAGAAAUGAAACAUGAUAGCAAGGUUAAAGGUGUAAAUGCAGUUGAAAUGAGGGAUGAAAUAAUAGAAGUCAAUCAAGAAGCUAUUACAAGAAGUGUAGAUGAACUUGAAGAAAGGGAGGUAGGGGAAACUGGCAUUGAUGACAUUGCCGGAAUAAGAGACGAGUUCCAUGUAAAAGACACAACUGGAAAAAAUGUAGAAGAAACAGAAUGCAGAAAAGAUGAAAGCAGAACUGAGCAUGUGUGGGAAAUGCAGACCGAAAAAAGGGAAGAACAGGUAGUACCAGCAUAUGUAGCAAGUAUGGGACAGAAGGAGAAAGGAGGAGAAAAUACAGUGGAUGAAAGCGUAACAGAAAGAGGAGCAGAAGUGUUUGUAGAGGGAGAAGGAAUAGAAGUGGUAAAAUGGCAAUCCAUGUCAAGUAAAAACAAAGUUGUAGGAAAGGAUACAGAGGGAUCUGAUGUGUUGGUGGAUGAAAAAGAGGAACUUCAAGUAAGAAAGGAUGCAGAGGAAGAGAUUAUUGAGAGAAAUGCAACCAAUGAAUUAGCUGAAACACAAACCGAGCAUAAAGGCUAUGUUAGACAGGAAAGCAAAGACAGAAUUACCAUGGAAGAUAAUGGAAAAAAUUUGAUAAUGGUUCUAGAUGUAAAUACUGCGCUAGCGGAAGAUUAUAAGGAUAAGAGUGCACAUGAUGAAUUGGGAGCAGUAACACUUAGAAGUGGACUGGCUGAGAACAAGUCAGAAGAGGAGAGAAAGUCAGACUAUAAUGGGGGAAUGAGGGCCCAAGUAUGUAAGACUGAUGAAAAACAAGAAGUAACUAAAGCAAAAGAUUGGGUAGAACAUGAAGAAACAGCAAAAGAAAAGACUGACAACAGUGAAGUGUACAGACAAGAGGUAGAAAGAACAAAAAUACAGGGAGAAGAUACAAAACAAGAGCAAAACAAAAGCGAUGAAACGGAGUCAUAUGGUCGAAAUGGUAAAACAGAAAUGUUAGUCACAGAGACACUAGAUGAUGAGGAAAAGGAAGAGCAGCCAAUGUCUAUGGGGGGAACUAAAAAAGAAGUGGAUGAAGAAAUAAGAGCAGAUGUGAGAAAUGAAGACAUUGCACAGGAUGAUGUUCGAAAAAGAGAAGACGAGCAAAUAUAUGAAGAUGAAAGUAAAAAAUUUGUCUUACAGGUGGAUGCCCCCUCUUUGGAUUUCACUGCCCAAAAGUCUCGAAUUGCCCUUAAGAACCACCUGGUUCGUCCACCCAAGGAUCCUCGAAUACUCCUGCAGAAAGCCUCUGUGAUCCCUAUCCAUUCAGCCCCACCCCAGGAGGAGGGGUUUAACACAAAGCCAGUGAUGAUGAAGGUGGGAGGUGGUGGAGUGAUGGGAAUCAAACUGCCAGGCUUUGGCGGUGGAAUUCCAGCACUGAAGAAAAAAGAAAAAGGAGUGAGUGAAAAAAGUGAGGAAGUUACUGGACAGAUCAGUGAGAAGGAACUCACUGCAAAUGUUGGAAUUGAUGUCAGGGAGCAGAGCAGCACAAAACAAAGGGAGGCAGGACCCAAAAUGGGAGGAGUCGGGGCGAUUGGAGUGAAGCUACCUGCUUUUGGUACAGGACUGCCUAUUUUAAAGAAGACAGACCGGGGAGUGAAGAUGAGGGAGGAUGUUGCAGAUGAUGGUGAAUAUGGAACAGCAAGGGCUGAAGGAAAAGGAGCAGAAUCAAAGGAAAAGGAGGUGAAAAGUACUGGAGCACCAGCUGUAAAACUACCAAGUUUUGGCGCUGGAUUUCCUAUGCUGAGAAAGACUGAAAGGGGAGCGAAAAUGAGAAGUGGAGAAGACUUGGAAAAGUCUGAAGCAGAUAAUUUAAACGACACAGACAAGCCAGAUGGAGGAUCUCCAUCCAACAAGGCUGAUGUAGGAAAUCCUCUACUGUCAGAGCUUAAGUUUAAAUUAAAGAAGACUGACAAGAAGUGAGAGUGAUAUCCUGCGUUUCUUUUUAUACAAUACUGUGUGCAUAUGAAUUUCGACAUUAUUUUACCAUUACUUACCUGCAUUUCGUGCACUAUUAAGUAGGGUUGCCAGCAGUGUAUGCAAUUUUACCGUAAUACCCUAAAGAAUAAAUGUUUGUUCAAGCAUACA
Molecule: long non-coding RNA, 6321 nt
Organism: Scleropages formosus (Asian bonytongue)
Lineage: Eukaryota; Metazoa; Chordata; Actinopteri; Osteoglossiformes; Osteoglossidae
Source: Ensembl